CAAAAGGAUUCUUUAGAGUUGCACUCGUACGCUUCUUUUUCCACCGGAGCUUGCUCUACCGGAAAAAGAAGAGUGGCGAACGGGUGAGUAACACGUGGGUAACCUGCCCAUCAGAAGGGGAUAACACUUGGAAACAGGUGCUAAUACCGUAUAACAAUCGAAACCGCAUGGUUUUGAUUUGAAAGGCGCUUUCGGGUGUCGCUGAUGGAUGGACCCGCGGUGCAUUAGCUAGUUGGUGAGGUAACGGCUCACCAAGGCCACGAUGCAUAGCCGACCUGAGAGGGUGAUCGGCCACAUUGGGACUGAGCCACAAACAAAAUUUCUACGGGAGGCAGCAGUAGGGAAUCUUCGGCAAUGGACGAAAGUCUGACCGAGCAACGCCGCGUGAGUGAAGAAGGUUUUCGGAUCGUAAAACUCUGUUGUUAGAGAAGAACAAGGAUGAGAGUAACUGUUCAUCCCUUGACGGUAUCUAACCAGAAAGCCACGGCUAACUACGUGCCAGCAGCCGCGGUAAUACGUAGGUGGCAAGCGUUGUCCGGAUUUAUUGGGCGUAAAGCGAGCGCAGGCGGUUUCUUAAGUCUGAUGUGAAAGCCCCCGGCUCAACCGGGGAGGGUCAUUGGAAACUGGGAGACUUGAGUGCAGAAGAGGAGAGUGGAAUUCCAUGUGUAGCGGUGAAAUGCGUAGAUAUAUGGAGGAACACCAGUGGCGAAGGCGGCUCUCUGGUCUGUAACUGACGCUGAGGCUCGAAAGCGUGGAGAGCAAACAGGGAUUAGAUACCCUGGUAGUCCACGCCGUAAACGAUGAGUGCUAAGUGUGGAGGGUUUCCGCCCUUCAGUGCUGCAGCUAACGCAUUUAAGCACUCCGCCUGGGGAGUACGACCGCAAGAUUGAAACUCAAAGGAAUUGACGGGGGCCCGCACAGCGUUGGAGCAUGUGUUUAAUUCGAAGCACGCGAAGGACCCUUACUAGUCUUGACAUCAUUUGACCACUCUAGAGAUAGAGCUUCCCCUUCGGGGGCAAAGUGACAGGUGGUGCAUAUGUCGUCAGCUCGUUGUCGUGAAUGUUGGCUAGGUCCCGCAACGAGCGCAUCCUUUAUUUGUAGCUGCCAUCAUUCAGGUGGGCACUCUAGACAAGACUGCGGAUGACAAACCGAGUAGUUGUAUGACGUCAAUCUCAUGCCUUAGACCUGGGCUACAACGUGCUUAGCAUGGGGGAGUACACCACGUCGA
RNAcentral lists this ribosomal RNA (1228 nucleotides) under Enterococcus durans. RNAcentral's name for it is "bacterial SSU rRNA". It matches the Rfam family "Bacterial small subunit ribosomal RNA", at positions 63 to 1250 of the family's 1533-position model. Lineage: Bacteria; Bacillati; Bacillota; Bacilli; Lactobacillales; Enterococcaceae. The record is from RNAcentral.